CCUGGUGGUUUUUGCGAAGGGCUCAGAACCCGAUCCCAUCCCGAACUCGACCGUUAAAUCCUUCAGCGCCGAUGGUACUAAGUCUCAAGGCUUGGGAGAGUAGGUCACCGCCAGGU
RNAcentral lists this ribosomal RNA (116 nucleotides) under Devosia geojensis. The record is from RNAcentral. Lineage: Bacteria; Pseudomonadati; Pseudomonadota; Alphaproteobacteria; Hyphomicrobiales; Devosiaceae.